CAGCAGCGCGGUAAUACGUAGGGUGCGAGCGUUAAUCGGAAUUACUUGGCGUAAAGCGUGCGCAGGCGGUUUUGUAAGACAGGCGUGAAAUCCCCGGGCUCAACCUGGGAACUGCGCUUGUGACUGCACAGCUAGAGUAUGGCAGAGGGGGGUGGAAUUCCACGUGUAGCAGUGAAAUGCGUAGAGAUGUGGAGGAACACCGAUGGCGAAGGCAGCCCCCUGGGCCAAUACUGACGCUCAUGCACGAGAGCGUGGGGAGCAAACAGGAUUAGAUACCCGGUAGUCCCUGUCUCUUAUACAC
This 301-nucleotide ribosomal RNA is filed under the name uncultured bacterium. RNAcentral describes it as "partial 16S ribosomal RNA". It matches the Rfam family "Bacterial small subunit ribosomal RNA", at positions 509 to 809 of the family's 1533-position model. The record is from RNAcentral.